Molecule: transfer RNA, 73 nt
Filed under: Stegodyphus mimosarum
Lineage: Eukaryota; Metazoa; Arthropoda; Arachnida; Araneae; Eresidae
Rfam family: tRNA
About the family: Transfer RNA (tRNA) molecules are approximately 80 nucleotides in length. Their secondary structure includes four short double-helical elements and three loops (D, anti-codon, and T loops).
Source: Rfam by way of RNAcentral
GUCUUCGUGAUUUAAUAGUCAGCACACUCGGCGGCUAAUCGAGAGAUCCGAGGUUCGAGUCCCGGCGAGGACA